AAAGUCGUAACAAGGUAACCGUAGGUGAACCUGCGGUUGGAUCAUUAAAAAAUUUCUUUUGACAAAAAAAAGGAACAGGCCGGAAAGAAACUCGAUGCAUAAACGUCGGGCGUACUUCUGGAAUGUUUUUGUCAACAUCUUGUGAACCUGUAAACGUCUCUGGCGGGGGAGGAAUCGGCUUCUGCUGGUUUCUCGUCAGCUCCCUCCUCGGGAGCCGUGGACAUCCCGCCAACCGCUUCCCUUGGGGACAGGUGACCUUAGGGGAUCCUCGUAUCUCGGGGAAGCAAACCUUUUUGCUCACUUUUUUGUAUUUUCUGACUUUGGGAAUCGACUCUGAAUGGUUUGUUCAGAAAGCAAUUUUUGAACGUACACAACACAAAAUGAUUUAAAACAACUUUUGGCAACGGAUCUCUUGGCUCUC
This 421-nucleotide unclassified non-coding RNA is filed under the name Chytridiomycota sp. Its description in RNAcentral is "partial contains small subunit ribosomal RNA, internal transcribed spacer 1, and 5.8S ribosomal RNA". The stretch from base 1 to 47 matches the Rfam family "Eukaryotic small subunit ribosomal RNA", at positions 1785 to 1831 of the family's 1831-position model. Lineage: Eukaryota; Fungi; Chytridiomycota. The record is from RNAcentral.